This 457-nucleotide ribosomal RNA is filed under the name uncultured Sphingobacteriales bacterium. Its description in RNAcentral is "bacterial SSU rRNA". It matches the Rfam family "Bacterial small subunit ribosomal RNA", at positions 923 to 1382 of the family's 1533-position model. The record is from RNAcentral. Lineage: Bacteria; Pseudomonadati; Bacteroidota; Sphingobacteriia; Sphingobacteriales.
GCACAAGCGGAGGAGCAUGUGGUUAAUUCGAUGAUACGCGAGGAACCUUACCUGGGCUCGAACGUAAGAUGACUGUAGGUGAAAGCUUACAUCUCUUCGGAGCAUUUUACGAGGUGCUGCAUGGUUGUCGUCAGCUCGUGCCGUGAGGUGUCGGGUUAAGUCCCAUAACGAGCGCAACCCCUACCUUAGUUGCCAUCAGGUUAAGCUGGGGACUCUAAAGGAACUGCCUACGCAAGUAGUGAGGAAGGCGGGGAUGACGUCAAAUCAGCACGGCCCUUACGUCCAGGGCUACACACGUGCUACAAUGGCCGAUACAGAGGGCAGCUACCUGGUGACAGGAUGCAAAUCUCCAAAGUCGGUCUCAGUUCGGAUCGGAGUCUGCAACCCGACUCCGUGAAGUUGGAUUCGCUAGUAAUCGCGCAUCAGCCAUGGCGCGGUGAAUACGUUCCCGGGCCUU